Molecule: ribosomal RNA, 395 nt
Filed under: uncultured archaeon
Lineage: Archaea
Description: bacterial SSU rRNA
Rfam family: Archaeal small subunit ribosomal RNA
Source: RNAcentral
CUCACCGGGGCCGACAGCAAUAUGUAGGUCAGGUUAAAGGUCUUACCUGAAUCGCUGAGAGGAGGUGCAUGGCCGUCGUCAGUUCGUACUGUGAAGCAUCCUGUUAAGUCAGGCAACGAGCAAGACCCGUGCCCACUGUUACCAGCAUAUCCUUUAUGGAUGAUGGGGACUCUGUGGGGACCGCUGCUGCUAAAGCAGAGGAAGGUGCGGGCUACGGUAGGUCAGUAUGCCCCGAAUCUCCCGGGCUACACGCGGGCUACAAUGGUUGGGACAAUGGGUAUCUACUCCGAAAGGAGUUGGCAAUCUCUUAAACCCAAUCGUAGUUCGAAUUGAGGGCUGUAACUCGCCCUCAUGAAGCUGGAAUCCGUAGUAAUCGCGUUUCAACAUAGCGCGGU